CCUACGGGUGGCAGCAGUGAGGAAUAUUGGUCAAUGGACGAGCGUCUGAACCAGCCAAGUAGCGUGAAGGAUGACUGCCCUAUGGGUUGUAAACUUCUUUUAUAUGGGAAUAAAAUGUUCCACGUGUGGGAUUUUGUAUGUACCAUAUGAAUAAGGAUCGGCUAACUCCGUGCCAGCAGCCGCGGUAAUACGGAGGAUCCGAGCGUUAUCCGGAUUUAUUGGGUUUAAAGGGAGCGUAGGUGGAUUGUUAAGUCAGUUGUGAAAGUUUGCGGCUCAACCGUAAAAUUGCAGUUGAAACUGGCAGUCUUGAGUACAGUAGAGGUGUGCGGAAUGCGUGGUGUAGCGGUGAAAUGCUUAGAUAUCACGAAGAACUCCGAUUGCGAAGGCAGUUCACUGGACUGCAACUGACACUGAGGCUCGAAAGUGUGGGUAUCAAACAGGAUUAGAUACCCGGGUAGUC
This 460-nucleotide ribosomal RNA is filed under the name uncultured bacterium. RNAcentral's name for it is "partial 16S ribosomal RNA". It matches the Rfam family "Bacterial small subunit ribosomal RNA", at positions 338 to 795 of the family's 1533-position model. The record is from RNAcentral.